GUGCCAGCCGCCGCGGUAAUACGUAGGGUGCAAGCGUUGUCCGGAAUUAUUGGGCGUAAAGAGCUCGUAGGCGGUUUGUCACGUCGGAUGUGAAAUCCCGGGGCUCAACCCCGGGUCUGCAUUCGAUACGGGCUGACUAGAGUUCGGUAGGGGAGACUGGAAUUCCUGGUGUAGCGGUGAAAUGCGCAGAUAUCAGGAGGAACACCGGUGGCGAAGGCGGGUCUCUGGGCCGAUACUGACGCUGAGGAGCGAAAGCGUGGGGAGCGAACAGGAUUAGAAACCCCCGUAGUCC
Molecule: ribosomal RNA, 292 nt
Filed under: uncultured bacterium
Lineage: Bacteria
Description: partial 16S ribosomal RNA
Rfam family: Bacterial small subunit ribosomal RNA
Source: RNAcentral